UGCCUGGUAGUCUAGUGGUUAGGAUUUGGCACUCUCAUCGCUGCAGCCCGGGUUUGAUUCCUGGUCAGGGAA
This 72-nucleotide transfer RNA is filed under the name Erinaceus europaeus (western European hedgehog). It matches the Rfam family "tRNA". From Rfam's summary of the family: Transfer RNA (tRNA) molecules are approximately 80 nucleotides in length. Their secondary structure includes four short double-helical elements and three loops (D, anti-codon, and T loops). The record is from Rfam by way of RNAcentral. Lineage: Eukaryota; Metazoa; Chordata; Mammalia; Eulipotyphla; Erinaceidae.